CCCCUCCCCGCGGGGAGGAGGGCGGGGGCGCGGAGCCCUCCCCCGGGACAGGGGGGCGUGCGCGUCCCCUCCGCUCCCCUCCCCCCCGGCCGGGCUCUCCUGGCUCCCCGAGGCGGGAGUUUCCAGGAAGAGCUCAGAGCGCGGCCGCACCACCGAGCGCACGGAGACAUCAAGUAGUCCCUCAGAGCGACCUUAUUAGAGAAUUCUAGCUGCCAGGGGCAGUCAGAGUCGCAACUCCGAAGAGAUAGGGGGUGACAGCCGGCCUGAGGGCCUCAGGGAAAGAGGUCCGAGCUCCCACUUUGCAUUGCCGGAGAAAGACGUGUGGGGGAGGCGGAACGAGUUCCGGCGGAGGGCUCGGGCGCGCCCGGUGGAGUGAAGCGCCGCGCAGUCGAAGCGCUCACGGAGUUAAAGUGGGCGGGAAAACCCGGAACGGACUCUCCCUGACACGCCCAGGACCUCCCGUCCCAUUUUUCGUGGGGGAGGGGACGAAAAAAAGCAACGGAGAGAAACGUGUUUCCUUUCCCGGCUACCUAAACCCCCACUGGAGAAAAAAGUGAUGACCCGCCACCACGGGAAGCCACAGUACAUUCACCAAGCCUUCUAAAGAUGACUUUUCUGGCUGCUGCUACUGACUCCAUUCUUUGCGGGAUCCUGGAGAGAGAGACAGAGCAUGAGCAUAGGAGGAGCAGAGCGGAGGAGGAGCAGAGCAAGAGAGGGACACAGAAUUGGAAGCAGGCUCCAGGCUCCGAGCGAGCUUCCAGCCCAAGAGCCCGCCACGGGGCUCAAACUCACAAGCCGUGAGAUCAUGACCUGAGCCGAAGUCGGCCGCUCAACUGACUGAGCCACCCAGGUCACGCCAUCUCAAGGUCUUUUUAUGUACUCUCAAGAAAAUUGUAUAUUUUCUGGAACGCCUGGCUGGCUUAGUCAGUGGAGCAUGUAACUCUUGAUCUUGGAGUUGUGGGUUUGAGUCCCACACUGGGUGUAGAGGUUACUUAAAAAUAAAAAAUAAUAAACAAAUAAACAA
Molecule: long non-coding RNA, 1024 nt
Organism: Felis catus (domestic cat)
Lineage: Eukaryota; Metazoa; Chordata; Mammalia; Carnivora; Felidae
Exons: 4
Source: RefSeq, a predicted model, not a curated record